This 429-nucleotide ribosomal RNA is filed under the name Acidobacteriota bacterium. RNAcentral's name for it is "Acidobacteria bacterium partial 16S ribosomal RNA". It matches the Rfam family "Bacterial small subunit ribosomal RNA", at positions 355 to 776 of the family's 1533-position model. The record is from RNAcentral. Lineage: Bacteria; Pseudomonadati; Acidobacteriota.
UGGGGAAUUUUGGACAAUGGGGGAAACCCUGAUCCAGCCAUCCCGCGUGUGCGAUGAAGGCCUUCGGGUUGUAAAUCACUUUUGGCAGGAAAGACACGUCAUGGGUUAAUACCCCGUGAAACUGACGGUACCUGCAGAAUAAGCACCGGCUAACUACGUGCCAGCAGCCGCGGUAAUACGUAGGGUGCAAGCGUUAAUCGGAAUUACUGGGCGUAAAGCGUGCGCAGGCGGUUCGGAAAGAAAGAUGUGAAAUCCCAGAGCUCAACUUUGGAACUGCAUUUUUAACUACCGGGCUAGAGUGUGUCAGAGGGAGGUGGAAUUCCGCGUGUAGCAGUGAAAUGCGUAGAUAUGCGGAGGAACACCGAUGGCGAAGGCAGCCUCCUGGGAUAACACUGACGCUCAUGCACGAAAGCGUGGGGAGCAAACAGG